AAGGAAUAUUGGUCAAUGGACGCAAGUCUGAACCAGCCAUGCCGCGUGAAGGAUGAAGGUCCUCUGGAUUGUAAACUUCUUUUAUCUGGGACGAAAACGGGAUUUUUAUCUCAAUUGACGGUACCAGAGGAAUAAGCACCGGCUAACUCCGUGCCAGCAGCCGCGGUAAUACGGAGGGUGCGAGCGUUAUCCGGAUUUACUGGGUUUAAAGGGUGCGUAGGUGGGCUUAUAAGUCAGUGGUGAAAUCUCCGAGCUUAACUUGGAAACUGCCGUUGAUACUAUAGGUCUUGAAUUAUCUGGAGGUAAGCGGAAUAUGUCGUGUAGCGGUGAAAUGCUUAGAUAUGACAUAGGACACCAAUUGCGAAGGCAGC
RNAcentral lists this ribosomal RNA (371 nucleotides) under uncultured bacterium. RNAcentral describes it as "bacterial SSU rRNA". It matches the Rfam family "Bacterial small subunit ribosomal RNA", at positions 356 to 725 of the family's 1533-position model. The record is from RNAcentral.